GUCGAACGAUGAAGCUGGAGCUUGCUCCGGUGGAUUAGUGGCGAACGGGUGAGUAACACGUGAGAAAUCUGCCCUUGACUCUGGGAUAACUGCGGGAAACUGUAGCUAAUACCGGAUACUUUCCUUGGUGGGCAUCCACUGGGGAAGAAAGAAUUUCGGUCAAGGAUGAUCUCGCGGCCUAUCAGCUUGUUGGUGAGGUAAUGGCUCACCAAGGCGACGACGGGUAGCCGGCCUGAGAGGGUGACCGGCCACACUGGGACUGAGACACGGCCCAGACUCCUACGGGAGGCAGCAGUGGGGAAUAUUGCACAAUGGGCGCAAGCCUGAUGCAGCAACGCCGCGUGAGGGACGAAGGCCUUCGGGUUGUAAACCUCUUUUAGCAGGGAAGAAGCGAAAGUGACGGUACCUGCAGAAAAAGCACCGGCUAACUACGUGCCAGCAGCCGCGGUAAUACGUAGGGUGCAAGCGUUGUCCGGAAUUAUUGGGCGUAAAGAGCUCGUAGGCGGUUUGUCACGUCUGCUGUGAAAUUUCGAGGCUCAACCUCGAACUUGCAGUGGGUACGGGCAGGCUAGAGUGCGGUAGGGGAGAUGGGAAUUCCUGGUGUAGCGGUGAAAUGCGUUGAUAUCUUGAGGAACACCGGUGGCGAAGGCGGCUUACUGGGUCUUUUCUGACGCUGAGGCACGAAAGCCAAGGUAGCAAACGGGAUUAGAUACCCCGGUAGUCUUGGCUGUAAACGAUGAGCACUUGAUUGAAGGGUCCUCCAUAGCCUUUCAGUCGUAGCGAAAGUGUUAAGUGCUCCGCCUGGGGAGUAUGGUCGCAAGGC
Molecule: ribosomal RNA, 823 nt
Filed under: uncultured bacterium
Lineage: Bacteria
Description: bacterial SSU rRNA
Rfam family: Bacterial small subunit ribosomal RNA
Source: RNAcentral